CAUCUCAUCAACUUGGCUGUGAAUUCUUUUUUUUAUUUCAAGAUAUCACAGCCACUUUGAUGAGCUUGG
RNAcentral lists this microRNA precursor (69 nucleotides) under Oryctes borbonicus. Its description in RNAcentral is "mir-2 microRNA precursor family". It matches the Rfam family "mir-2 microRNA precursor family". From Rfam's summary of the family: The miRNAs are transcribed as ~70nt precursors (modelled here) and subsequently processed by the Dicer enzyme to give a ~22nt product. In this case the mature sequence comes from the 3' arm of the precursor. Lineage: Eukaryota; Metazoa; Arthropoda; Insecta; Coleoptera; Scarabaeidae. The record is from Rfam by way of RNAcentral.